AGCAGCCGCGGUAAUUCCAGCUCCAAUAGCGUAUAUUAAAGUUGUUGCAGUUAAAAAGCUCGUAGUUGAAUUUCGGGAUUGGCGUGUCGGUCGUGCCUUACGGGGUAUGAACUGGCAUCGUCGAUUCUCACCUUCUGGAGAAUCACGAUGCCCUUAAUUGGGUGUCGUGUGGAUCCAGGACCUUUACCUUGAAAAAAUUAGAGUGUUUAAAGCAGGCAUAUUGCUCGAAUACAUUAGCAUGGAAUAAUAAAAUAGGACGGCUUGGUUCUAUUUUGUUGGUUUCUAGGAUCACCGUAAUGAUUAAUAGGGAUAGUUGGGGGCAUUAGUAUUCAAUUGUCAGAGGUGAAAUUCUUGGAUUUAUUGAAGACUAACUACUGCGAAAGCAUUUGCCAAGGAUGUUUUCAUUAAUCAAGAACGAAAGUUAGGGGAUCGAAGACGAUCAGAUACCGUCGUAGUCUUAACCAUAAACUAUGCCGACUAGGAAUCAGACGAUGUUAAUUUUUUAAUGACUCGUUUUAC
This 519-nucleotide ribosomal RNA is filed under the name uncultured Entrophospora. RNAcentral describes it as "SSU rRNA". It matches the Rfam family "Eukaryotic small subunit ribosomal RNA", at positions 569 to 1084 of the family's 1831-position model. Lineage: Eukaryota; Fungi; Glomeromycota; Glomeromycetes; Entrophosporales; Entrophosporaceae. The record is from RNAcentral.